Molecule: ribosomal RNA, 728 nt
Filed under: Ceratophyllum echinatum
Lineage: Eukaryota; Viridiplantae; Streptophyta; Magnoliopsida; Ceratophyllales; Ceratophyllaceae
Description: eukaryotic LSU rRNA
Rfam family: 5.8S ribosomal RNA (bases 249-402)
Source: RNAcentral
UAAAAAGUCGUAACAAGGUUUCCGUAGGUGAACCUGCGGAAGGAUCAUUGACAUAGACCCACGAACGACCGCGAACUGUUGAAACCUUGCAAUAUGUCCGGGCGUCGCCUGUAGAGGGUGGGAGCUCCUCUCGCCUUCUCGGGCGCUCGCCCAAUCAGAUCGGCGCGGCAUGCGCCAAGGAACACGUAAUCGUAAAAGGAGCGCGAGAGUCUUUGAAGGACUAUCGCGAUCCGAAGAGAUCCACAUACGACUCUCGGCAACGGAUAUCUUGGCUCUCGCAUCGAUGAAGAACGUAGCAAAAUGCGAUACUUGGUGUGAAUUGCAGAAUCCCGUGAACCAUCGAGUCUUUGAACGCAAGUUGCGCCCGAGGCUUCGGUCGAGGGCACGCCUGCCUGAGCGUCAUGCAUUGCGUCGCUCCCCCCAUCCCCUUUUCUUCUAUGGAAGGGGGAUAGAGAGGGGAUGCGGAGGCUGGUCGCCCGUUCCGUCUCCUUGCUGGAGCGGCCGACUGAAAUGAAGUUGGGGCACCCGGCAUCCCGCGGCCCGACGAUUGUUGGACCCUCGAACCCGUUGUACAUUGGCGGCGUCGAGGCUUGCGCGCAUCCGUGUGUUGUCCCCGCGUUGGACGAACCCUCUCUCUUGAUCGGGGCUCAUGGGCUUCGCAUCAAGAUUGCGACCUCAGGUCAGACGGGACUACCCGCUGAGUUUAAGCAUAUCAAUAAGCGGAAGAA